Molecule: ribosomal RNA, 460 nt
Filed under: uncultured bacterium
Lineage: Bacteria
Description: partial 16S ribosomal RNA
Rfam family: Bacterial small subunit ribosomal RNA
Source: RNAcentral
CCUACGGGUGGCUGCAGUGAGGAAUAUUGGUCAAUGGACGAGAGUCUGAACCAGCCAAGUAGCGUGAAGGAUGACUGCCCUAUGGGUUGUAAACUUCUUUUAUAUGGGAAUACAGUGUUCCACGUGUGGGAUUUUGUAUGUACCAUAUGAAUAAGGAUCGGCUAACUCCGUGCCAGCAGCCGCGGUAAUACGGAGGAUCCGAGCGUUAUCCGGAUUUAUUGGGUUUAAAGGGAGCGUAGGUGGUUUGUUAAGUCAGUUGUGAAAGUUUGCGGCUCAACCGUAAAAUUGCAGUUGAAACUGGCAGUCUUGAGUACAGUAGAGGUGGGCGGAAUUCGUGGUGGAGCGGUGAAAUGCUUAGAUAUCACGAAGAACUCCGAUUGCGAAGGCAGUUCACUGGACUGCAACUGACACUGAGGCUCGAAAGUGUGGGUAUCAAACAGGAUUAGAUACCCCUGUAGUC